Molecule: ribosomal RNA, 433 nt
Filed under: uncultured Clostridium sp.
Lineage: Bacteria; Bacillati; Bacillota; Clostridia; Eubacteriales; Clostridiaceae
Description: partial 16S ribosomal RNA
Rfam family: Bacterial small subunit ribosomal RNA
Source: RNAcentral
ACGGAAGGCAGCAGUGGGGAAUAUUGCACAAUGGGGGAAACCCUGAUGCAGCAACGCCGCGUGAGUGAUGACGGCCUUCGGGUUGUAAAGCUCUGUCUUCAGGGACGAUAAUGACGGUACCUGAGGAGGAAGCCACGGCUAACUACGUGCCAGCAGCCGCGGUAAUACGUAGGUGGCGAGCGUUGUCCGGAUUUACUGGGCGUAAAGGGAGCGUAGGCGGACUUUUAAGUGAGAUGUGAAAUACCCGGGCUCAACUUGGGUGCUGCAUUUCAAACUGGAAGGCUAGAGUGCAGGAGAGGAGAAUGGAAUUCCUAGUGUAGCGGUGAAAUGCGUAGAGAUAGGAAGAACACCAGUGGCGAAGGCGAUUCUCUGGACUGUAACUGACGCUGAGGCUCGAAAGCGUGGGGAGCAAACAGGAUUAGAUACCCUGGUA